This 1734-nucleotide ribosomal RNA is filed under the name Triticum aestivum (bread wheat). RNAcentral describes it as "partial small subunit ribosomal RNA". Lineage: Eukaryota; Viridiplantae; Streptophyta; Magnoliopsida; Poales; Poaceae. The record is from RNAcentral.
AUGGAUUCCUCUGGACAAGAAGGAGGUGGGGUUGCCCAAGUUGUUGAUCCAGAAGGGGAGGAACGAACUGAAUAUCCCCCUCAAGGUCUCCGCGAUGACUCAGCCCAAGAAGGAGGUGGGGUUGCCCAAGUUGAUGAACCAGAAGGUGAGGAACCAACUGAAUAUCCAGAACGAGGUCUCCGCAAUGACUCAGCUCGGGUAUUCCCUCGCAAGUUAUGCAAGUCUACUUACAUUACUAGGCUGUCUUUCAAGCGUUGGGAAAAAACUGUGAAGAAGUUUAGUGACAUUCAGUUAGGCCAUGUGAGAAAGUACAAAAUGGAAGCUCUGCUUCAUAUGCCAAAGAAACUCAAAAUCCCCAUGAAUCUGCUUGAAUGGAUAGAUCAACACAUGUUUGGAACUAAAGAGCCCUGUUUCAAGCAUAAGAAUAAAGUUAUCAAGAUUAUUAAAGAUAUGGUCGACAAAAUUUUCGAUUUCCCUGGUGGCACCGAGCCUUUUGUAUUCAGUAGCGACGAUCCCCAAGUGAAAGAAGAGGUUACACAGUUGAGGAACAAGUAUAUUGAUCAUCGGAACAAAAUGCCAAUUAAUAAAAUAGAGGAGGUGAUGCUUAGUGACGAGACAGAAGAUGGUUUUAUUAGGAGCUUCACAUUUUAUUUCCUAUCAUCUAUUUUGUGCCCUGCGUCAUAUUGUUUUGGCAACACCAAGUUCUUGUACUCUCUGAGAGAUGUUUCUGCUAUUCCUUCACUCGACUUUGCGCAAUUGGCACUGGAUUUCAUGCGUGAGGAGUCAGAGCGUCACUUUAAAAUGAUCAUGAACAGACCAAGUGUUGAGGAAAUGAACAAGUCUUCAUAUAUUGGGGGAUGUCUUCCUAUCUGGGGAAUCAUUUAUCUGGAUUUUGUUGAUUUCGAUGUUAUUGAUAAUCAUCAGUCUACUGUGGAUUAUUCUCUUCCACGGAUAUGUCAUGUUAAGACUGAAGAUUUCAAGUAUCUUGCAUUGGUUGAUAGGAAUUAUGAGUCUAGGAAUUUUUUUGGUGUUUUACCACUGCGAGACAUAUCACAGACCCCAUAUUACAAUGCCGGGCCUAUUAACAAUGCUCCCGAUGCUGCUGGUGUGAUUAACUCAACUCCUUAUGUGGAGGUCAACAAUGCAAAUAGUGUUCGUGAAGCUCUACAUGAGAACACGUCAAUUGAUUCAAAAAGUCCUCAUAUCAUUUCAGAAAUUCCCAGUUCCACUGCAAAAGUUGAAGCAGAUUUAAAACCGAAACCAGAGCCACAUUUGAAAUCAGAGGUUCCCUCCAAUGAUGUCCUUAAGCCGGAGCCAAUCGGACCAAAAUUUGAGAACAUUUCUAUCAUGAAUUCGGUGUACAAAACACCAAUAUUCCCAGCUCAUACUUCAAAUGUGAACACCAACUCUGUCCACCAAGAAACUACUUCACAACCUAAGGAAGAAGUUUUUAUAUCAGCUGAAGCAAAUGAUAUCAAAUUUUCCACUGAAGUUAAUGCAAAAAGAAGUUUUAUACUCAUCAGUUCUGCCUCUGGAAAUGAAAGAGUCAAGCGUUUUCAAGGAACUCCAAUUCUUAUUGAUGAUGAUUCUCCUACCACUCCUGCUGCUGCGACUAACAAAGAGAUACCAGCCUCUCGCUGUGAUACAAGUGAAGGAAUUCCAAUGAACAUGGAGUUUUUUGUCCAACUAGGCUAUUCUUCAUUGAAUAAUGCAGAAGCUGGACGAAGUACAUGA